This is a long non-coding RNA of Labrus mixtus (cuckoo wrasse), 875 nucleotides long. RefSeq lists it as uncharacterized. The record is from RefSeq and is a predicted model, not a curated record. NCBI's taxonomy places the organism in Eukaryota, Metazoa, Chordata, Actinopteri, Labriformes, Labridae. The transcript is spliced from 2 exons.
GUGACUGAAUUUAGGACAGAUUUUGCUGCAAAUAUGAUUGUUGAGGUAAUUGUCCAUGUUCACACAUUUUCAUGAAUCUCUAUUCCAGGGCGGGUGUUUGUCCACUGUCUGAUGGGUGUGAGCCGCUCUGCCACGUUGGUCCUGGCCUUCCUGAUGAUAGCUGAGGGCCUGAGGCUGCGGGAGGCGGUGGCUGCUGUCAGGCCGCACAGAGACGUCUGCCCCAACCUGGGCUUUCUGCAGCAGCUCCGCAGCCUCGACAUGAGCCUGGAGAGGGAGAGGAGGAGGAGACGGAAAACACUGUAAAGACACACACAGACACACACACACACAAAUCCAUAAACAUUAACUUAAAAAACCACACAUAAGCACAUUUAUUGCAACAGAGGUCAAUCAACCCAGAUCACCACCUCUGACAGAGCUGAGGCAAAUGCUCUGGAAAAACAGAAAGCCAGUGUCACCUGUCGAUCAAGUCUGGCCAGACCUGUACAUCGGAGACGAUUUGUACUCUGUGUGUGUUGUUUCCCUGCAGGUCUGUGGUUGAGAGAUAAAGCCAUUCUGUCAUCUCUGGGUGUGACUCACAUAAUGAACGCCGCAGCAGGACGACACCCGAUCAAUACAGGUCUGCAGUUCUACGGUGACCUCGAAGUAGAAUAUACCUCGGCGUUGAAGCUGCAGACCAUCCAGAGUUUGACCUCCAACCUUUUCUUCAACUCAACCGCACACUUCAUAGACAGGGCUCUGAAGGGUCAGUGGGCAAAUAUAACAGCAGACGAUUCAUUAUGUACAACUACACAAGCACAUUAAAAAUAUAUAUUAGAGUUAAAAUCAAGAAUGGCAAUGUUAGAAGCAAAAUAAAAAAGCUUGGUUUGGCUUCA